AUUAAAGUUGCUGCAGUUAAAAAGCUCGUAGUUGGAUUUUGAAUUAUAAAAAUUUAACAUUCAUCUUUUAGAUGUGAUUUAAUUUUUAUAUUCUUCCUUUUGAUACGCUCCAUCAAAUUUUAUAUUUUUUGGAUUUAAGUGUUUCAAAUUGUUUACUGUGAAAAAAUUAGAGUGUUCAAAGCAGGCGUAACCUAGCCUUUGAAUAUAUUAGCAUGGGAUAAUGAAAUAGGACUUUAAUCCUACUUUCGUUGGUUUCUAGGGCUAAAGUAAUGAUUAAUAGGGUUAGUUGGGGUCACUAGUAUUUAAUUGUCAGAGGUGAAAUUCUAAGAUUUAUUAAAGACUAACUACUGCGAAAGCAUUUGACAAGGAUGUUUUCAUUAAUCAAAAACGAAAGUUGGGGGAUCGAAGAUGAUCAGAUACCGUCGUAGUCUCAACCAUAAACUAUGCCGACCAAGGAUCCGAGGUUGUUAAUAUGGAUGACUCUUCGGGCACUUAUAGAGAAAUCAUAAGUAUUUGGGCUCCGGGGGGAGUAUGGUCGCAAGGCUGAAACUUAAAGGAAUUGACGGAAGGGCACCACAAGGAGUGGAACCUGCGGUUUAAUUUGACUCAACACGGGAAAACUUACCAGGUCCAGACACAGUGAGGAUUGACAGAUUGAGAGUUCUUUCUUGAUUCUGUGAGUGGUGGUGCAUGGCCGUUUCUAGUUGGUGGAGUGAUUUGUCUGGUUAAUUCCGUUAACGAACGAGACCUUAACCUAUUAAAUAGUUAUUUGAACUUGAUUUUUAAAAUCAAAUGUUUAAAAAACUUCUUAGAGGGACUCUUCACUGAGAGAGUGAAUGGAAGUUUGAGGCAAAAACAGGUCUGUGAUGCCCUUAGAUGUUCUGGGCCACACGCGCGUUACACCGACAUAUUCAACGAGCAUUAUCCUUACCCGUCGGGGUUGGGUAAUCUUUUAAAUGUAUGUCGUGCUGGGGAUAGAUCAUUGUAAUUAUUGGUCUUGAACGAGGAAUUCCUAGUAAGUGCGAGUCAUCAACUCGCGCUGAUUACGUCCCUGCCCUUUGUACACACCGCCCGUCGCUCCUACCGAUUGAAUGGUCCGGCGAGAACUCAGGAUGGAUAUGGAUUUUGGACACCGUUAGGUGUUCCAACCAUAUCCAGAAUUUGUUCAA
This 1169-nucleotide ribosomal RNA is filed under the name metagenome. RNAcentral's name for it is "SSU rRNA". It matches the Rfam family "Eukaryotic small subunit ribosomal RNA", at positions 603 to 1762 of the family's 1831-position model. The record is from RNAcentral.